AGUCAUAAGGUGCUGGCUUGGAAACUGCUCUGCAUGGUGUCCUACCUUCUUUUGAAACUAGAUGGUUCUGCAUAGCCCAGCGUCUGCUUUCUAUUUCUGUGGUUCAGGCACGACUGUUUGUUAAGAUAAUGACAAAGAACAUUGACAUCCAGCACACAUGGGACUUAUGGACUUUGCUGACUAUUUUUGAAAGCUCUGUAGGAUGUGUGGAAGCUUAGAGACUUCAGACAGAAGGUAGACUGUGAAUCAUGGAACCACCGAUGCUCACAGCUCCCCCACCAAACCAAGGGAAAUGACAAGAAGUCGGCAGACCUCUCAAGGUUACUGUCAUUCAACCGAAGUUAUUGUAUGCACAUACCAAAGUGACCAGUCUUCCCCUGAGUGAGAAAGCUAGUUUAAUCCUACAGUGUGAGAUUCAUGAUUUUAAUUCUGGGAAAGAAAAGCUUGCAAGACCCUCUUCUCCCAACACCUGGACUGCAAGCAGGCUCCUGAGCCUUGGGUCACAAGGAAUGCAAAGAUGCCCUGGCAGCCUUUUGAAUCCUUGAGACUUCUUGGUAAUGUGAGAGAGAUACUUUUCCACGAGCACUUAGAUAGAGAAAGGACACAAUUUCACUAUAAAAAUAUUACUAAAUUGCCAAAGGCACAUACAUGCCAGUUCUUAAGGAAGACAAUCUGAGCCACCUCCACAUCACAGGAAUAAAAAGGCCCCCUUCCUCCCCAGACUAACGGUCUGAGUGAGUGUCCCAGCAUUUGUGCAGUAGUCUUUCUUCAGAACCAAGGUGGGGUGGGAGGAGCCUCUGUUUUCCUACAGCCGUCCUGAAGUCGGGGUGAGGAAACUUUGCUUUUGUAUUUAAACUUUAGAAUUCUCGCUACUCUUGAAGGCUUAUGAAGCUUUGGGGUUCUGGUGUCUUCCCAUUCUCCACCUCAGCAACCUUCAAGUCCAACUAAGAGGCCGACACUGCUGAAGGCCGAUCAUGAAUUUUCAUUGAGGGGAGGAGCUGCUGCAGGGAGCGAUAACACGCUCGAAUGGUGAGCAGCUCUGCUCCCCCAGCCUUUUGCAACUGUCCACUGAUACAGCCGUGGGCAGAACAGAGGUGGCUUUGGAAACCCCAUGUGCUUGGAUCUGAAGCAGGGAGCAGCUGGAUCCAGCCAUGGUCGAUGGGGAGGGUGGCAGUGGCAGACACAGAAACUGACCCAUAAGCACAUGGCUCCUGGGAGAAACCUGGGAGCAUGUGAUAUGCAGAUGAAGUAUCUCCAGGGACAACCAAAAAGAGGCAGAGGGACAAAGGCUAUGAUUGACAUCAGGAGUCCACUCAUUCCAGUUAGUGCUAUACAGUAGAAUGUAGCCAUACUGCUGGUUCAUGUUCGCUGAGGUCUUUCCGUCACUGUGAAGUCAGCCUACGGCACUGCCAUUUAUCCAAUGACGUAAUGCCUCGUUGUUAAACGUCAUUGCUACGUGUCUAGAUUUCCCAUAACCAUGGAAACACACUCUUGAGUUUCUAGAAAGAUUUUUAUUGAAGAGGAUAGACCCACUCUGAUUGUGAGUGGUACCUUGGGGUUCUGGAUCAUGUAAGAAGGAAAUUCAAGCUUGGCAUUAGACGCCAUCUCUUUGCUUCCUGACUGGAUACGAAAUGAGCAGUGUCCUUACUCUCCUGCCCUACCUGUGCACCAAAAAAAACCCUGACUUGAGAAGUAAAGUGACUAACACAUGCCUCUAGUCACUAGAGUCUGGUGUCCAUGGAUGGAGUCUGGCGCCAGUUGAAUGUACUUUGAAUGAAGGAACAAAGGGGGAAGGAGCAUGGAUGUGACAGAGGCAAUAUGGACACUGGUAUCUGAGGGAAUAAUGAUAAGGAAAGCAUCCGUCCAUGCUCAGGAUAAUUGGAGGCUCCCCGGUACUUUCAAUACACAGGAAACUGAAUCCAUGUAUGCGUAAUCCACAGACAGGGAAGGCCAUCUGCACCUGGGAAAGAAUAUCUAGUGGAGUGACCAAUCCAUGGUAACAGAGUCAGGACCUUCAGCAAGGACCUUCAGCAGAGGAUGGAAGAGAGAACACAGAACUAAUCUAAUGUGACAACGCUGUCCUAGGAGCCAGGAGCCACUCACAUGGCUCCAGUUGCUUUAUUAAGACAAGAUUGCGAGAAUACAGAAGCUGAGAGGCCUGUCCAUAAACCAUCUGAGACGCCUGCUUGGAAGAGAAGGUAGCUUGGAGCAGAUAUGGAGAUGAUGGAAAGUUGUCGUUUUGAUCCUGUAAGAAUCAUUUGAAGAAUGGGAGCGGGGUGUACACUAAAAAUUCCAAAUGACUUUCUAGAGCUUCUCCUGAGCUAUUAGAAAAUUGAAACUGCCUUUGGUUGGAAAGAGGAAAACCAAGAAAGAGACAGUUCUAGAGAGAGCAUCUUAAGAGCUAGGGGUUGAUGACAUUAAUGAAUGAGGUGCCCCGCAGCCAUCUAAACAGAGAUACAAGAGUCUUUGGGAGUCAAGAGAAAGGUUGGGCCUAGACAUGAAAAUUUGCUAGUUUCUAACAUGUAAAAAUAGUUAAGAAAAUGCGUAACACCGUCGCUGAAGUUCAUAAUGAUGGAAAAACUUACUCAAAGUACUCAAGUUACUCAAAAUACAGCUUACUGAUAAACAGUAUCAUAUCACCUAGGAACACGUUAGCUAUGCAAAUCCGUAGGCUUAUCUACACCCUUGGAAUCAGAUAUUCUGUGGGUAGGGCCCUGCACAUUUGUACAGCAAACCUUCCAGGUGUUUCCUUUGCCUACUAAAAUUUGAGAACCACUGAUAUAGAAAUUAGAAAGCAAAGAAGAAGGCCAAGGGAAAACCCAGAGAGGAAGAAGACCAGAGGGCACAGGGCGGGGGGGGGGGGGCGGUUUACUGGAAAUCAAGCCGACAAAGCAUUGCAAGUAGAAGAGGCAUCCAUGAUGUGCCAUGCGCCUAAGAACUACACACAUUGUCUCCAAGGUGGAGGACAUUCUGUCAUCUAUCAAAACUAGACAAUGCAUUUUUAUGACUCUGUGUUCUUCAUCUGGUCCAGAUGAGAAAAAUAAGAACAAGAAGAGAGGCUGGAAGGAGCAAGUGGGAGAAGCAAGAUGGAGUACCAGUUACAAGCCACAAGCGUCCACCCAGGUGCUCAUCCACAGUAAAAAGCAAGAAGAUGACAUGGAUGAGCAGGGAGCUUGGUUGUAAUCCCAGACCCUUAGAGGCAGAGACACUGUGACCUCCAAGACAGUGAGGACUAUAUAGUAAGACUUUGUCUCAGGAUGAAUCUUGUAUUUACCCUGAGGGGGGGGAAAAGUGGAAAAGAAG
RNAcentral lists this long non-coding RNA (3303 nucleotides) under Mus pahari (shrew mouse). Its description in RNAcentral is "lncRNA (MGP_PahariEiJ_G0004360.1)". The record is from RNAcentral. Lineage: Eukaryota; Metazoa; Chordata; Mammalia; Rodentia; Muridae.